AAAAUAAUUGGUUUCUUAUUGAAGGUUGACAUAGCUUGUACCACUUCUUUAGUAAACGUCUUCCCAGUGCCAGAAGAUCCAAUCAAGACGGUUGGCUUAAUUAACUUAACAGCAUUCACCAGUUCUUUUACUGGCUCGUGAUCAUGAGCCCAGGGCCUCUUAAAAUGUUGAAGUGACUCCAUGCGAGACCUAACUAUCAACCCCUUAGAAUCCACCAUCCAAGUUUUCUUGCGUGACUCUUCUAGAGGGGCUCCAGUCUGCUUGGACAUCUCAAGAGCUAUGAGUUCUGCUAUCCCGGUACCAGCCUCUCCAGCUCCCAGGAAUAAAAAUCUAUGCUGUGCCAAGUUUCCUCCCACUAAGUUUAGUGCUGCCAUGAUCCCUGCUAGGACCACAGAUGCAGUCCCCUGAAUGUCGUCAUUAAAAACAAGGUGGCUAGUUCCAUAUUUCGCAAGAAGGUCAAAUGCAUUGUGAUUCGCAAAGUCUUCAAACUGAAUGAGCACUUUCUCUCCGUAAGUCUGCUUGACAGCAGACAUAAAUUCAUCCAAGAGUUCAGCAUAUUCCUGUCCUCUAGUUCUUCUUUGUCUCAGCCCAAUGUAAAAUUCAUCUUUUAACAAUGUCUCAUUGUUUGUGCCCACAUCAAUGGUAACUGGCAAGCAAGAUGACGGCCGAAUGCCUCCAAGAGCGGUGUAUAAAGAGAGUUUCCCUACUGGUAUCCCCAUUCCCUGGCAA
This 729-nucleotide unclassified non-coding RNA is filed under the name Hevea brasiliensis (rubber tree). Lineage: Eukaryota; Viridiplantae; Streptophyta; Magnoliopsida; Malpighiales; Euphorbiaceae. The record is from RNAcentral.